GGAUGCGAUCAUACCAGCACUAAAGCACCGGAUCCCAUCAGAACUCCGAAGUUAAGCGUGCUUGGGCGAGAGUAGUACUAGGAUGGGUGACCUCCUGGGAAGUCCUCGCGUUGCAUUCCC
This 120-nucleotide ribosomal RNA is filed under the name Secale cereale subsp. dighoricum. The record is from RNAcentral. Lineage: Eukaryota; Viridiplantae; Streptophyta; Magnoliopsida; Poales; Poaceae.